AGACGCCAUUUUUUAUUGAUUCACCUGCUCAGGUGAGCGGGGACACCUGAGCCCCGCAGGUGCUGCCAAGGGGGGGGGAGGGGCCAGGUGAGAGCGGCCAGGUGAGAGCGGCCAGGUGAGGAUUCCAGGUGGGGAUUCCAGGUGAGGAUUCCAGGUGGGGAUUCCAGGUGGGGAUUCCAGGUGAGGAUUCCAGGUGAGGAUUCCAGGUGAGGAUUCCAGGUGGG
This is a long non-coding RNA of Vidua chalybeata, 224 nucleotides long. RefSeq lists it as uncharacterized. The record is from RefSeq and is a predicted model, not a curated record. Lineage: Eukaryota; Metazoa; Chordata; Aves; Passeriformes; Viduidae. The transcript is spliced from 4 exons.